This 146-nucleotide unclassified non-coding RNA is filed under the name soil metagenome. RNAcentral describes it as "partial internal transcribed spacer 1". The record is from RNAcentral.
CCGAGUUUACAACUCCCAAACCCCUGUGAACAUACCACUUGUUGCCUCGGCGGAUCAGCCCGCUCCCGGUAAAACGGGACGGCCCGCCAGAGGACCCUAAACUCUGUUUCUAUGUGUAACUUCCGAGUAAAACCAUAAAUAAAUCA